This 468-nucleotide ribosomal RNA is filed under the name uncultured bacterium. Its description in RNAcentral is "partial 16S ribosomal RNA". It matches the Rfam family "Bacterial small subunit ribosomal RNA", at positions 28 to 507 of the family's 1533-position model. The record is from RNAcentral.
GACGAACGCUGGCGGCGUGCUUAACACAUGCAAGUCGAACAGAAAGGCCCUGCUUUUGUGGGGUGCUCGAGUGGCGAACGGGUGAGUAACACGUGAGUAACCUGCCCUGGACUUUGGGAUAACUUCAGGAAACUGGGGCUAAUACCGGAUAGGAGCUCCUGCUGCAUGGUGGGGGUUGGAAAGUUUCGGCGGUUGGGGAUGGACUCGCGGCUUAUCAGCUUGUUGGUGGGGUAGUGGCUUACCAAGGCUUUGACGGGUAGCCGGCCUGAGAGGGUGACCGGCCACAUUGGGACUGAGAUACGGCCCAGACUCCUACGGGAGGCAGCAGUGGGGAAUAUUGCACACUGGGCGGAAGCCUGAUGCAGCAACGCCGCGUGCGGGAUGACGGCCCUCGGGUUGUAAACCGCUUUCGCCUGUGACGAAGCGUGAGUGACGGUAAUGGGUAAAGAAGCACCGGCUAACUACGUG